CGGGUGCAUGAGAACUUGCAAUACAGGAGCUGAACCAGUGAGGGUCCCAGGGUGCUUCUCAGAGAAGGUGAUAAUGAGAUGUAGUUCUCACCUGAAAGAAAGCAGCAGGGAACUGUGGUGGGCAGGGCUGCAGAGCAGAGGAGGGGAUUCGUGCUCAAGGAAACAGCAACAGUGCCGGGGAGGCGUGAAAGCAUCCAGAAUACUAAUGCUCAAAACAUGCCAAAAAACAAGGAGCAACAAAACAAUGGAAAUGUGCAGUGGUAGCUCAGCUCCAGGAUGGCCCCCUCCAGGGUGGACAACAGCGUUUCCCGUUCUGGGGAGGCACUAAAUCAGAAUGCCCUGUGACAACCACUGGUGAUGUGAGGACUGACACCAUGCGCCACCCCUGCCCUUAAUUAACUGCAUCCACACACAGCACAACGUGGAUAUCCAUCUCCUCGGAUGAGCCAUUUCCCUCCCGGAGCAGUCUGUGCCAAUGCCCAUCUUAAAGUACGCACUCCAGAAGAUUCAACAAGCUCUGACUCUGGUCUGGCCAUCAAAGAAAGAAAGAUGACUGCCUGGCAUUGCUCACAUAGCAUGUGCCUCCAUACACUCCACCGGAUGCUAUAUAGCCAUUAAAUCGAUCAUUACUCUUUAAUCAAUGAGAAGAGUUGGACUCCUUUGUUUUACAGUCCAAAUUCCUCUUAACAUGCCCCAACUUCAUUGACAUAAUUUUCCUUAUUAA
This 724-nucleotide long non-coding RNA is filed under the name Aotus nancymaae (Ma's night monkey). Its description in RNAcentral is "lncRNA (ENSANAG00000038763.1)". Lineage: Eukaryota; Metazoa; Chordata; Mammalia; Primates; Aotidae. The record is from RNAcentral.